Long non-coding RNA from Acanthopagrus latus (yellowfin seabream), 2329 nucleotides. RefSeq lists it as uncharacterized. The record is from RefSeq and is a predicted model, not a curated record. The transcript has 3 exons. Lineage: Eukaryota; Metazoa; Chordata; Actinopteri; Spariformes; Sparidae.
GAAACGCGGCACUUAGGAUCGUAAUCGUGUGCUCACACUAAAGGUACAUGGACGGGUGGUGUGUACACACAUUUAAAACAGUGAAAAAAAAGCACAGUUAAAGGAAAAUGUCAACACAGGUGCUAUUUUUUUUAAAAAGAAAAGAAAAUGAAACAUGGAAUUCACAUUGAGUGUGUUUGUACGGAGCCCAGCAGGUGUCACAGCAGAAUCUGCGACUGGACGUGAUGCGGAUCCCUCACACAAAGAGUAAACAUGGUUGGCAACGAGAAGUAUUUCUGACACCUCUCAACGGGACAAAAUACAGCACUUGGCAAAAACCAAGCAGUCGAAUUCCUCGACACCUGGGUCCAUUUGGCCUUCUUCUGUGCUUCAUUUUCUCCUAUUGUGAAACCAUCUUGUGCAUCAGCUCCUCUUUCAUUAAUCACAGACCACUGGACUCUGUCUGUUAUUCAUUUUGUCGCUAUACUUGAAGGUGUUGUCCAUCUGCCAUUCACACUCUGACUGAAUCCAUGUGAAUGAGGCACAAUAUCUCCCAACGGCACGCUUAAAUAUUGACCAUAUUUUGGAUCCAUGGUGUCUGGUUUGAGCAUUCCUUUUGGUGAAAACACACGUGCUUGGACUUAGUGUGGAUUUGGGACAGUGGUACGGCUUCAAAGGAGUAUAUGAAAUUCCUUGAAUCCCAUCCGAUCAGCGUGAUCAUCUGGUUAAAAAAGUCUGCUCUGUCUACCUCUGGAUCCCCUUCAAUCAUUUGGCUAACUGGGUGCUGUUUGGUGCUGUAAGUUCUGGGUGGUGGUACUCCAGAGGUACCCACAUUUAAAAAUGGCUAAAAUCCGUACAGCACACACCAAGAUAUCCUGAUUUUUUAGUCGCUAGUAUGAGUAAGGCUCCCAAAUUUCUCAAUGCUACAGUUCCCAUAAUGCAGCAUGAUGGCAUCUUUUGUUAGAACGUUGCUACAAAGUCAGCAGACUGCCCCUUUAAAAGGCAAUUUAACAUCACUAUGAGAACAGUGAUUUGCCGUUCUCCCUGGUGGACAGUCGGUCUCACCUCUGAACCUACCCAGGAUACCAACAGGUGUUGUGAGAAGUGUGCACCUGUAGCCACACCCAGCCAGUGAUGUCACAGCAUCCAGGAGUCCACCUGUACGUCACUGCAGCCAGGUGAGCGCUUAAGCCACUGGAUGUCAGCAAAGACAAGAUUUUCAAGCUCCUCUUCAAGCCUGCCUGCUCUCCUUCAUCAGCAGGACAGUGACUAAACAGAUUUCUUUUUUUUUUUAUCUGGAUCGCUCACUUCAGAUGGGAAAUGACUGGCAGCGCGGUAUGUAGAUGGCGUGUCACAUCUUCUAAUGUGACUUUGUGGAUUUUUCUCUCCCUCUAGCUUGUGCUUAUUUGGUCACUCUUGACACUUUGCGUGAUACUGAGUCGCGAAAAGCUGUGAAAAACAAACUGCGCAGCUCUCCCUUUCCCAGGCAGAGCUGCCGAUUCUCACCUUGCGUGUGCGUGUAACCAAAUGUGUCACGACACAUUGUUGCUGACGGAGUGUUAUGUCAACCCGAGAUCAAACAGUAGACCUGAAAGCUAAAAUGUGAUAGGUGGUAUUCCAGAAGGAGUUAUGUCGAAAUUCAUUCUUUUAGCGUUUGAGAUUGAAAAGCUUCAGAUAAAUGUCUGUAAGAGACGGAACUGAUCUAUACUUGUUGUUUUAACUACAUUGGCCUCGGUGUAACACCUUCAUGUUGCUCCGCUGUGAUGUCAGCGUCUGAUUGUGAGCCCUUUGUGUCACUUGCACUAAUUAAAGACUGCUGAAUAAACCGGUUGACACUUCAGACAUCAGCUGCUUCUUUAAGGCGUUUGUGUGCGACAGUCUGACAUUCACACCCACUUCAUGCUCUUGUGCUCAUGUUGUCCUCGUCUCUCUUUCAUCCUGUGUGUGUGUGUGUGUGUGUGCACACUUCAGCUUUUGUCUCCUGUGUGUUGUUUGUAGUCUGUCCUCUUUUCAAGUCUCCGCGGUGGAGACGAGGUCGCGCGGCUCCGGUCUGUUUGGGGACGCCUGAAGCUCGCGGAUUCAUAUUCUUCUGAUACGUUCACAAUCUAUCCAUCAUUUUAUUGUCUUAAUUACUGUAAUUUAGAUGUUUUUUUGUGAAAGUGAAAUUUCUUUAGUUUUUUCUCCGUAACAGAUUUUGUGUAUGUGUGUGAGUUUUUCCUUGUGAAAAUCAUGUGUCUAAAGCUGCUUUUGAAUGAAAUGAAGACAAGAACCAGAUAAAAUAACCUUUUAGUUCAUUGAUAAGUCAUUCCUGGGAUUUUAAGUUCCACCUGGAAACAUGACAGUUGAGUUU